This is a long non-coding RNA of Phacochoerus africanus (Common warthog), 325 nucleotides long. RefSeq lists it as uncharacterized. NCBI's taxonomy places the organism in Eukaryota, Metazoa, Chordata, Mammalia, Artiodactyla, Suidae. The transcript has 3 exons. The record is from RefSeq and is a predicted model, not a curated record.
UGAAAGAUGCAGAUGCACUUUGUAUGGACACACAGAUUCUGUGAACAGCAUCGAGUUUUUUCCUUUUUCCAACACACUUCUCACAGCUUCUGCAGAUAAGUCCCUGUCUGUAUGGGAUGCAAGAACGGGCAAAUGUGAGCAGUCGCUCUAUGGUCACAUGCAUUCUGUCAACGAUGCCACCUUCACUCCUAGGGGUUACAUGAUAGCAUCCUGUGACGCCUGUGGAGUAGUAAAACUGUGGGAUUUUCGGAAGCUCUUACCAAUUGUGUCCAUCGAUGUAGGUCCAAGUCCUAGCAAUGAGGUGAAUUUCGACUCAUCAGGUAGG